GAUUUACAACGGCCGCGGUAUCCUGACCGUGCAAAGGUACGCUAAUAAUUUGUCUUAUAAUUAAUGACUAGAAUGAAUGGUUAAAUGAGAUAAAAUCUUUUUAUUUUUUUUAAGAAAAAUAAAACUUAAAGUAAAAAUGCUUUAAUAGAUUAAAAAGACAAGAAGACCCUAUAGAGGUUUAUUAAAAAAAAUUAAAAAAUUAUUAAAUUUUACUGGGGCGGUAAGAAAAUAUUUAAAACUUUUCUUAAAAUUUUAUAAAAAGAUUUAUGAUCCUUUUGAUAACAAGAAAAAGCUACCUUAGGGAUAACAGACUAAUUUUACUUUAGAGUUCCAAUCGAAAGUAAAGUUUGGCACCUCGAUGUUGGCUUAGGAUAUAUAAAACUCGCAAAAGAGUUUAAAUAUGGUUUGUUCAACCAUUAAAUUCCUACAUGAUCUGAGUUCAAACCGGAG
This 450-nucleotide ribosomal RNA is filed under the name Syllides edentatus. Its description in RNAcentral is "partial 16S ribosomal RNA". It matches the Rfam family "Bacterial large subunit ribosomal RNA", at positions 1919 to 2621 of the family's 2925-position model. The record is from RNAcentral. Lineage: Eukaryota; Metazoa; Annelida; Polychaeta; Phyllodocida; Syllidae.